CCUACGGGCGGCUGCAGUGGGGAAUAUUGCACAAUGGGCGGAAGCCUGAUGCAGCAACGCCGCGUGCGGGAUGAAGGCCUUCGGGUUGUAAACCGCUUUCACCGCCGACGAAUGUAGACGGUAGGCGGAGAAGAAGCACCGGCUAACUACGUGCCAGCAGCCGCGGUGAUACGUAGGGUGCGAGCGUUGUCCGGAUUUAUUGGGCGUAAAGAGCUCGUAGGUGGUUUGUUGCGUCGGAUGUGAAAACUUGGGGCUCAACUCCAAGCUUGCUUUCGAUACGGGCAGACUUGAGGGAGGUAGGGGAGAACGGAAUUCCUGGUGGAGCGGUGGAAUGCGCAGAUAUCAGGAGGAACACCGGUGGCGAAGGCGGUUCUCUGGACCUUUCCUGACGCUGAGGAGCGAAAGCGUGGGGAGCAAACAGGCUUAGAUACCCCGGUAGUC
RNAcentral lists this ribosomal RNA (441 nucleotides) under uncultured Propioniciclava sp. RNAcentral's name for it is "bacterial SSU rRNA". It matches the Rfam family "Bacterial small subunit ribosomal RNA", at positions 338 to 795 of the family's 1533-position model. The record is from RNAcentral. Lineage: Bacteria; Bacillati; Actinomycetota; Actinomycetes; Propionibacteriales; Propionibacteriaceae.